UGUCAAAAACAUGGGGUGACUGUAGCUGU
Molecule: small RNA, 29 nt
Filed under: Bombyx mori (domestic silkworm)
Lineage: Eukaryota; Metazoa; Arthropoda; Insecta; Lepidoptera; Bombycidae
Description: piRNA piR-bmo-1488539
Source: RNAcentral